This 253-nucleotide ribosomal RNA is filed under the name uncultured bacterium. RNAcentral's name for it is "partial 16S ribosomal RNA". It matches the Rfam family "Bacterial small subunit ribosomal RNA", at positions 524 to 776 of the family's 1533-position model. The record is from RNAcentral.
UACGGAGGGAGCUAGCGUUGUUCGGAAUUACUGGGCGUAAAGCGCACGUAGGCGGCUUUGUAAGUUAGAGGUGAAAGCCCGGGGCUCAACUCCGGAACUGCCUUUAAAACUGCAUCGCUUGAAUCCAGGAGAGGUGAGUGGAAUUCCGAGUGUAGAGGUGAAAUUCGUAGAUAUUCGGAAGAACACCAGUGGCGAAGGCGGCUCACUGGACUGGUAUUGACGCUGAUGUGCGAAAGCGUGGGGAGCAAACAGG